RNAcentral lists this ribosomal RNA (769 nucleotides) under uncultured bacterium. RNAcentral's name for it is "partial 16S ribosomal RNA". It matches the Rfam family "Bacterial small subunit ribosomal RNA", at positions 1 to 737 of the family's 1533-position model. The record is from RNAcentral.
GGCCGCGGGAAUUCGAUUGGAUCGCCCUUAGAGUUUGAUCAUGGCUCAGGAUGAACGCUAGCGAUAGGCCUAACACAUGCAAGUCGAGGGGCAUCACAUGAAGUAGCAAUACGGAUGGUGGCGACCGGCGCACGGGUGAGUAACGCGUAUGCAACCUGCCUACAACAGGGGGAUAACCCGUUGAAAGACGGACUAAUACCCCAUAACACAGGGGUCCCGCAUGGGAAUAUUUGUUAAAGAUUUAUCGGUUGUAGAUGGGCAUGCGUUCCAUUAGCUAGUUGGUGAGGUAAGGGCUCACCAAGGCAACGAUGGAUAGGGGAACUGAGAGGUUUAUCCCCCACACUGGUACUGAGACACGGACCAGACUCCUACGGGAGGCAGCAGUGAGGAAUAUUGGUCAAUGGGCGCAAGCCUGAACCAGCCACGUCGCGUGAAGGAAGACGGCCCUACGGGUUGUAAACUUCUUUUGUAAGGGAAUAAAGUGCAGUACGCGUACUGUUUUGCAUGUACCUUACGAAUAAGGAUCGGCUAACUCCGUGCCAGCAGCCGCGGUAAUACGGAGGAUCCGAGCGUUAUCCGGAUUUAUUGGGUUUAAAGGGUGCGCAGGCGGGAGAUUAAGUCGGCGGUGAAAUUUUGCAGCUCAACUGUAAAAGUGCCUUCGAAACUGGUUUUCUUGAGUGUAGAUGAAGUAGGCGGAAUUUGUGGUGUAGCGGUGAAAUGCAUAGAUAUCACGAGGAACUCCGAUUGCGCAGGCAGCUUACUAAGCUAC